GACGAACGCUGGCGGCGUGCUUAACACAUGCAAGUCGAACGGAAAGGCCUCUUUCGGGGGGUACUCGAGUGGCGAACGGGUGAGUAACACGUGAGUAACCUGCCCUUGACUUUGGGAUAACUUCAGGAAACUGGGGCUAAUACCGGAUAGGAGCUCCUGCUGCAUGGUGGGGGUUGGAAAGUUUCGGCGGUUGGGGAUGGACUCGCGGCUUAUCAGCUUGUUGGUGGGGUAGUGGCUUACCAAGGCUUUGACGGGUAGCCGGCCUGAGAGGGUGGCCGGCCACAUUGGGACUGAGAUACGGCCCAGACUCCUACGGGAGGCAGCAGUGGGGAAUAUUGCACAAGGGGUGGAAGCCUGAUGCAGCAACGCCGUGUGCGGGAUGACGGCCUUCGGGUUGUAAACCGCUUUCGCUCAUGACGAAGCUUUGUGUGACGGUAGUGGGUAAAGAAGCACCGGCUAACUACGUG
Molecule: ribosomal RNA, 467 nt
Filed under: uncultured bacterium
Lineage: Bacteria
Description: partial 16S ribosomal RNA
Rfam family: Bacterial small subunit ribosomal RNA
Source: RNAcentral